This 319-nucleotide long non-coding RNA is filed under the name Oryza brachyantha (malo sina). RNAcentral's name for it is "long non-coding RNA (OBRA_LNC002981)". Lineage: Eukaryota; Viridiplantae; Streptophyta; Magnoliopsida; Poales; Poaceae. The record is from RNAcentral.
CCUUGGGACAGUGUAAAACUCUAGUAGUUCCUCUCCUCUUGUUGUAUGUCCAAAACAGUGAGGAGGCUAUAUUAGCUACUUGCAUUGUGAGCCCUGCUUCUGCUCUUUCUCCAAAAUUUGUGCUCUCAAGUCUUAAGAAUCGCAAAAAUAAAAAAAAAAUCUUGUUGUGGGAUUGGAAGAUGUUGGGAUUGAACCCGCUGAAACCAAAGUUGAGGCAUAACGCUUCAGAAAAACAUCUACUUUACUUUUAACAUAUUGCAUUUCACAACAAGUUUUGUAGUAUAUCACGGGCGACUAGAGAGGAUGAUAGCAUCACUGC